CCUACGGGAGGCAGCAGUGAGGAAUAUUGGUCAAUGGGCGCGAGCCUGAACCAGCCAAGCCGCGUGAGGGAAGACUGCCCUACGUGUUGUAAACUUCUUUUGUAAGGGAAUAAAGUCAGGGACUUGUCCCCGGUUGAGGGUACCUUACGAAUAAGCAUCGGCUAACUCCGUGCCAGCAGCCGCGGUAAUACGGAGGAUGCGAGCGUUAUCCGGAUUUCUUGGGUUUAAAGGGUGCGUAGGGGGGUUGUUAAGUUAGAUGUGAAAGUCCGGGGCUCCACCGCGGCAGUGCCGUUGAAACUGGCUGGCUGGAGUUGAGGUGAGGUAGGCGGAAUGCGCGGUGUAGCGGUGAAAUGCUUAGAUAUCACGCAGAACCCCGAUUGCGAAGGCAGCGUACCAAACUGACACUGACGGUGAGGCACGAAAGCGUGGGUAUCAAACAGGAUUAGAUACCCUAGUAGUC
This 460-nucleotide ribosomal RNA is filed under the name uncultured bacterium. Its description in RNAcentral is "partial 16S ribosomal RNA". It matches the Rfam family "Bacterial small subunit ribosomal RNA", at positions 338 to 795 of the family's 1533-position model. The record is from RNAcentral.